UCAUUCAAAAAAUGUGAAUAUUUCUAUAGCAUUUACUAUAUGAAGAACGCUGUUCUAAGUACUUUACAAACAUCACCCUCUUUGGUCUCCCAACAACCUUUUCCAGGGAUGAUGGCAUGGACGUCUUUGGAGACCAUUAUUUGAACUACCAAAGCACUCAUCUUUUGAAGUCGCACAGCCACCUGAGGGAAUGCAAGACAGGCAUUUACAGAUAUUGGCGAGGAUUUAAAAUUCCUGGAGCUUUCAUACAUUGUUGGUUGGAGCAAACACUUUGAAAAACAGGGAGGCAUGCUGGAGAACAGUGUCAAGUGGAAGGUGAUAUUUGAACAGCGAAAUAACUUUAACAACAGGUACCAUGUGUUGCUGUAAGCCAUUUGUGCGUUUGCCCUGUGCCAUAUACAGCAAGCAGCCUUAUGCGUAGAAGGUGAUGGAAUGUCCACUUUAAAGGUUAGGCAACAGAGAUUCAGAAAUUCAAAUGAUAUUGGACAGUUAGUGAGUGGUAUAUAUUGGAUUGAAAACAAGGAUUUUGACUUCAAAAUUUGGAAAUUUAAGCCCCACACUACUACCUUCAAGCAGCACAAGUACAUAGAUAUAAUAAACUUUGGGCUUUGAUCAUUCUA
Long non-coding RNA from Suricata suricatta (meerkat), 620 nucleotides. RefSeq lists it as uncharacterized. NCBI's taxonomy places the organism in Eukaryota, Metazoa, Chordata, Mammalia, Carnivora, Herpestidae. The transcript is spliced from 4 exons. The record is from RefSeq and is a predicted model, not a curated record.